GAUGAACGCUGGCGGCGUGCCUAAUACAUGCAAGUCGAGCGAACAGACGAGGAGCUUGCUCCUCUGACGUUAGCGGCGGACGGGUGAGUAACACGUGGAUAACCUACCUAUAAGACUGGGAUAACUUCGGGAAACCGGAGCUAAUACCGGAUAAUAUAUUGAACCGCAUGGUUCAAUAGUGAAAGACGGUUUUGCUGUCACUUAUAGAUGGAUCCGCGCCGCAUUAGCUAGUUGGUAAGGUAACGGCUUACCAAGGCAACGAUGCGUAGCCGACCUGAGAGGGUGAUCGGCCACACUGGAACUGAGACACGGUCCAGACUCCUACGGGAGGCAGCAGUAGGGAAUCGUCCGCAAUGGGCGAAAGCAUGACGGAGCAACGCCGCGUGAGGGAUGAAGGUCUUCGGAUCGUAAAACUCUGUUAUUAGGGAAGAACAAAUGUGUAAGUAACUAUGCACGUCUUGACGGUACCUAAUCAGAAAGCCACGGCUAACUACGUG
Molecule: ribosomal RNA, 497 nt
Filed under: uncultured bacterium
Lineage: Bacteria
Description: partial 16S ribosomal RNA
Rfam family: Bacterial small subunit ribosomal RNA
Source: RNAcentral